This 301-nucleotide ribosomal RNA is filed under the name uncultured bacterium. RNAcentral's name for it is "partial 16S ribosomal RNA". It matches the Rfam family "Bacterial small subunit ribosomal RNA", at positions 509 to 807 of the family's 1533-position model. The record is from RNAcentral.
CAGUCGCCGCGGUAAAACGGAGGGUGCGAGCGUUAUUCGGAAUUACUGGGCGUAAAGCGCACGCAGGCGGUUGCCCAAGUCAGAUGUGAAAGCCCCGGGCUUAACCUGGGAACUGCAUUUGAAACUGGGCGACUAGAGUAUGAAAGAGGAAAGCGGAAUUUCCAGUGUAGCAGUGAAAUGCGUAGAUAUUGGAAGGAACACCGAUGGCGAAGGCAGCUUUCUGGGUCGAUACUGACGCUCAUGUGCGAAAGCGUGGAGAGCAAACAGGAUUAGAUACCCGCGUAGUCCCUGUCUCUUAUAC